Molecule: unclassified non-coding RNA, 593 nt
Filed under: Hevea brasiliensis (rubber tree)
Lineage: Eukaryota; Viridiplantae; Streptophyta; Magnoliopsida; Malpighiales; Euphorbiaceae
Source: RNAcentral
UGGUGGGAUCUUUAAUGAAGAGGUAAAAUCUUUAUCAUGCUUUGUGAUUUCAUUUUUCGUCAUGAGUAGUUAUUAGCAUUGGAACUGAUAAAUUGAUAAAAGUGGCUAAAAAAUGUAUAUUGCUACUACUAACUGUGGUUCUUCUCUAUUUCAUGAGUUCCUUUUUUCUAAUUUUUUGGAUAUUUAAAUUGCUAUCAUGUUUGAGUAAUAUACUUUACGAUACCAUCUGAUGAUAAAAGGAACUCAUUGUUGUAUAAGACUUUUAUAAUGGUUGUUAAUAAUCCUUUUCUUUUUCUUUUGUUCUGUGGCACUAGCAUUGAUGCAUUCAUCCAAAUUUUUGCUUUGGGAGUGGAACAAAUCUGUUGGUGAGACACAAGUACAACUGCAUGUGCAUUAGAGAAGUACUGAAUUUGUUGCUAAGACAGAAGUACAGAUGCAUUAGUCAGAUAAAUUUUUAAAACUAACUUUGAUUGCCAUAAUCAUUUUUUUUUUUUGUAGAAACUAUAUAUAAUUAUUAUUUUUAUAUUUCCUGAUUUUGUUCCUUAUAAAUUUUGCUUGGAAUAUGAAUCAGGUGCUCAAGGCCAUGCAAGAAU